This 804-nucleotide ribosomal RNA is filed under the name uncultured Pelagibacteraceae bacterium. RNAcentral describes it as "bacterial SSU rRNA". It matches the Rfam family "Bacterial small subunit ribosomal RNA", at positions 35 to 887 of the family's 1533-position model. Lineage: Bacteria; Pseudomonadati; Pseudomonadota; Alphaproteobacteria; Candidatus Pelagibacterales; Candidatus Pelagibacteraceae. The record is from RNAcentral.
GCUGGCGGCACGCCUUAUACAUGCAAGUCGAACGAAGUAGCAAUACUUAGUGGCAGACGGGUGAGUAACAUGUGGGUAUCUUCCCUUUGGUGAGGAAUAACACGAGGAAACUUGUGCUAAUACCUCAUAAGUCUUUACGGAGAAAGCUUUAUGCGCCAAUGGAUGAGCCCGCACUUGAUUAGUUAGUUGGCAGGGUAAUGGCCUACCAAGACUUUGAUCAAUAGCUGAUUUGAGAGGAUGAUCAGCCACAUUGGGACUGAGACACGGCCCAAACUUCUACGGGAGGCAGCAGUAGGGAAUCUUGCACAAUGGAGGAAACUCUGAUGCAGCGAUGCCGCGUGAGUGAAGAAGGCCUUUGGGUUGUAAAGCUCUUUCGUCGGGGAAGAAAAUGACUGUACCCGAAUAAGAAGGUCCGGCUAACUUCGUGCCAGCAGCCGCGGUAAUACGAAGGGACCUAGCGUAGUUCGGAAUUACUGGGCUUAAAGAGUUCGUAGGUGGUUAAAAAAGUUGGUGGUGAAAUCCCAGAGCUUAACUCUGGAACUGCCAUCAAAACUUUUUAGCUAGAGUAUGAUAGAGGAAAGCAGAAUUUCUAGUGUAGAGGUGAAAUUCGUAGAUAUUAGAAAGAAUACCAAUUGCGAAGGCAGCUUUCUGGAUCAUUACUGACACUGAGGAACGAAAGCAUGGGUAGCGAAGAGGAUUAGAUACCCUCGUAGUCCAUGCUGUAAACGAUGUGUGUUAGACGUUGGAAAUUUAUUUUCAGUGUCGCAGCGAAAGCGAUAAACACACCGCCUGGGGAGUACGACC